UCGCGGCUUAUCACCGGCAGUCCCCUUAGAGUGCCCAACUAAAUGAUGGCAACUAAGGGCGAGGGUUGCGCUCGUUGCGGGACUUAACCCAACAUCUCACGACACGAGCUGACGACGGCCAUGCAGCACCUGUGCUGGCUGCCCUUGCGGGCUCAUCCCCGUUUCCGGUUCUUAAUACCAGCAUGUCAAACCUGGGUAAGGUUCUUCGCGUUGCGUCGAAUUAAACCACAUGCUCCACCGCUUGUGCGGGACCCCGUCAAUUCCUUUGAGUUUUAAUCUUGCGACCGUACUCCCCAGGCGGGAUGCUUAAUGCGUUAGCUGCGCCACUGACAGGCAAGCCUGCCAACGGCUAGCAUCCAUCGUUUACGGCGUGGACUAC
RNAcentral lists this unclassified non-coding RNA (379 nucleotides) under uncultured Alphaproteobacteria bacterium. Its description in RNAcentral is "contains 16S-23S intergenic spacer region". Lineage: Bacteria; Pseudomonadati; Pseudomonadota; Alphaproteobacteria. The record is from RNAcentral.